Molecule: ribosomal RNA, 484 nt
Filed under: uncultured bacterium
Lineage: Bacteria
Description: partial 16S ribosomal RNA
Rfam family: Bacterial small subunit ribosomal RNA
Source: RNAcentral
AUUGAACGCUGGCGGCAGGCCUAACACAUGCAAGUCGAGCGGUAGAGAGAAGCUUGCUUCUCUUGAGAGCGGCGGACGGGUGAGUAAUGCCUAGGAAUCUGCCUGGUAGUGGUGUAUAACGUUCGGAAACGGACGCUAAUACCGCAUACGUCCUACGGGAGAAAGCAGGGGACCUUCGGGCCUUGCGCUAUCAGAUGAGCCUAGGUCGGAUUAGCUAGUUGGUGGGGUAAUGGCUCACCAAGGCGACGAUCCGUAACUGGUCUGAGAGGAUGAUCAGUCACACUGGAACUGAGACACGGACCAGACUACUACGGGAGGCAGCAGUGGGGAAUAUUGGACAAUGGGCGAAAGCCUGAUCCAGCCAUGCCGCGUGUGUGAAGAAGGUCUUCGGAUUGUAAAGAACUUUAAGUUGGGAGGAAGGGCAGUAAAUUAAUACUUUGCUGUUUUGACGUUACCGACAGAAUAAGCACCGGCUAACUCUGUG